UCGAGAAUUUUUCUCAAUGGGCGAAAGCCUGAAGGAGCGACGCCGCGUGGGGGAUGAAUGGCUUCGGCCCGUAAACCCCUGUCAUUUGUGACCAAACCUUUUCAUUUAACACAUGAAAAGCUGAUGGUAGCGGAAGAGGAAGGGACGGCUAACUCUGUGCCAGCAGCCGCGGUAAUACAGAGGUCCCGAGCGUUGUUCGGAUUCACUGGGCGUAAAGGGUGCGUAGGUGGCCGGGUAAGUCUGAUGUGAAAUCUCGAAGCUUAACUUCGAAACUGCAUUGGAUACUAUUCGGCUGGAGGGUUGGAGGGGGGACUGGAAUUCUCGGUGUAGCAGUGAAAUGCGUAGAUAUCGAGAGGAACACCAGUGGCGAAGGCGAGUCCCUGGACAACUCCUGACACUGAGGCACGAAAGCUGAGGGAGCAAACAG
RNAcentral lists this ribosomal RNA (427 nucleotides) under uncultured bacterium. Its description in RNAcentral is "bacterial SSU rRNA". It matches the Rfam family "Bacterial small subunit ribosomal RNA", at positions 355 to 775 of the family's 1533-position model. The record is from RNAcentral.